This 254-nucleotide ribosomal RNA is filed under the name uncultured bacterium. RNAcentral's name for it is "partial 16S ribosomal RNA". It matches the Rfam family "Bacterial small subunit ribosomal RNA", at positions 524 to 776 of the family's 1533-position model. The record is from RNAcentral.
UACGGGGGGAGCAAGCGUUGUUCGGAUUUACUGGGCGUAAAGGGCGCGUAGGCGGCCACCGCAAGUCGACUGUGAAAUCUCCGGGCUUAACCCGGAAAGGUCAGCCGAUACUGCGGGGCUAGAGUGCAGAAGGGGCAACUGGAAUUCUCGGUGUAGCGGUGAAAUGCGUAGAGAUCGGGAGGAACACCAGUGGCGAAGGCGGCCUUCUGGGCCUUUCCUGACGCUGAGACGCGAAAGCGUGGGGAGCGAACCGG